Chenopodium quinoa (quinoa) is the source of this 337-nucleotide long non-coding RNA. RefSeq lists it as uncharacterized. NCBI's taxonomy places the organism in Eukaryota, Viridiplantae, Streptophyta, Magnoliopsida, Caryophyllales, Amaranthaceae. The transcript is spliced from 2 exons. The record is from RefSeq and is a predicted model, not a curated record.
CUUACUUUCCCAAUUCUUCUGCAAAAUCCAUACUCACUUUCAAUUACUUUGAUUCUUCAUCAAUUUCUCAGCUCUACAUCUAUUAUCAUGCAGUUGCUCGUGGUGUGGUUCGGGAGUUGCUGCAGCUCGGAUUGGUGUUUGGUCAGUGGUGCAGCGACCGAGAUUUGGUACGUACGGUGGCGAGCUAAUGGUUGCAGCUAGUUGUGCAAUUGAGGUGGAGCUACUUGAGUGAUAGCCUGAUAGGCUUAUAUAUAGUUUGGCAUGUGGUGAUAUAGUGACCUUUAGGUAAAUGGUUGUAACCUUGUUUCUAUAUGUAGUGACCUUUGUGGCUUUGUGU